GACGAACGCUGGCGGCGUGCUUAACACAUGCAAGUCGAGCGGAAAGGCCCUUUCGGGGGUACUCGAGCGGCGAACGGGUGAGUAACCCGUGAGUAAUCUGCCCUUGGCUUUGGGAUAACCACCGGAAACGGUGGCUAAUACCGGAUGUGACGCGCACCGGCAUCGGGGUGUGUGGAACGUUUCUUCGGCCAGGGAUGUGCUCGCGGCCUAUCAGCUUGUUGGUGGGGUACUGGCCUACCAAGGCUUCGACGGGUAGCCGGCCUGAGAGGGUGACCGGCCACACUGGGACUGAGACACGGCCCAGACUCCUACGGGAGGCAGCAGUGGGGAAUAUUGGACAAUGGGCGGAAGCCUGAUCCAGCAACGCCGCGUGAGGGAUGACGGCCUUCGGGUUGUAAACCUCUUUCAGUACCGACGAAGCGCCGAUGAUGGUGGUGACGGUAGGUACAGAAGAAGCACCGGCCAACUACGUGCCAGCCGCCGCGGUAA
Molecule: ribosomal RNA, 489 nt
Filed under: uncultured bacterium
Lineage: Bacteria
Description: partial 16S ribosomal RNA
Rfam family: Bacterial small subunit ribosomal RNA
Source: RNAcentral